Molecule: non-coding RNA, 150 nt
Filed under: Veronia pacifica
Lineage: Bacteria; Pseudomonadati; Pseudomonadota; Gammaproteobacteria; Vibrionales; Vibrionaceae
Description: Enterovibrio pacificus FMN sequence
Rfam family: FMN riboswitch aptamer (RFN element)
About the family: The RFN element is a highly conserved domain that is found frequently in the 5'-untranslated regions of prokaryotic mRNAs that encode for flavin mononucleotide (FMN) biosynthesis and transport proteins. This element is a metabolite-dependent riboswitch that directly binds FMN in the absence of proteins.
Source: Rfam by way of RNAcentral
AUGAAUUCUCAGGGCGGGGUGGAAUUCCCCACCGGCGGUAAUGCAUUUUGUGCGCAGCCCGCGAGCGCCUGCAUGCGAUUUUGUGCAGGGUCAGCAGAUCUGGUGUAACUCCAGAGCCGACGGUUAAAGUCCGGAUGAGAGAGAAUCAGU